RNAcentral lists this ribosomal RNA (447 nucleotides) under uncultured bacterium. RNAcentral describes it as "partial 16S ribosomal RNA". It matches the Rfam family "Bacterial small subunit ribosomal RNA", at positions 29 to 523 of the family's 1533-position model. The record is from RNAcentral.
AGCGAACGCUGGCGGCAGGCUUAACACAUGCAAGUCGAACGCCCCGCAAGGGGAGUGGCAGACGGGUGAGUAACACGUGGGAACGUACCCUUUGGUUCGGAAUAACUUGGGGAAACUCAAGCUAAUACCGGAUAAGCCCUUAUGGGGAAAGGUUUACUGCCGAAGGAUCGGCCCGCGUCUGAUUAGCUAGUUGGUGAGGUAACGGCUCACCAAGGCGACGAUCAGUAGCUGGUCUGAGAGAAUGAUCAGCCACAUUGGGACUGAGACACGGCCCAAACUCCUACGGGAGGCAGCAGUGGGGAAUAUUGGACAAUGGGCGCAAGCCUGAUCCAGCCAUGCCGCGUGAGUGAUGAAGGCCUUAGGGUUGUAAAGCUCUUUCACCGAUGAAGAUAAUGACGGUAGUCGGAGAAGAAGCCCCGGCUAACUUCGUGCCAGCAGCCGCCGCCG